This 418-nucleotide unclassified non-coding RNA is filed under the name soil metagenome. RNAcentral's name for it is "partial contains 5.8S ribosomal RNA, internal transcribed spacer 2, and large subunit ribosomal RNA". The stretch from base 1 to 120 matches the Rfam family "5.8S ribosomal RNA", at positions 35 to 154 of the family's 154-position model. The record is from RNAcentral.
GAUGAAGAACGUAGCGAAAUGCGAUAAGUAAUGUGAAUUGCAGAAUUCAGUGAAUCAUCGAAUCUUUGAACGCAUCUUGCGCUCCUUGGUAUUCCUUGGAGCAUGCCUGUUUGAGUAUCAUGAGCAAACCUCAAAGUCAAUUCCUUUUGUUAAUUCAAUUGGUUUUGCUUUGGACUUGGGGGUCUUGCAGAUUUCACAGUCUGCUCCUCUUAAAUGCAUUAGCUGGAUCUCAGUAAUUAUGCUUGGUUCCACUCGGCGUGAUAAGUAUCACUCGCUGAGGACACUGUUAAAAAGGUGGCCAGGAAAAUACUGAUUGAACCGCUUCUAACGGUCUAUUAAGUUAGACAAUUACCCUUAAGUUUGAUCUCAAAUCAGGUAGGACUACCCGCUGAACUUAAGCAUAUCAAUAAGCGGAGGA